AGCGAACGCUGGCGGCGUGCCUAACACAUGCAAGUCGAACGUGAAAGGGAGCAAUCCCAAGUAAAGUGGCGUACGGGUGAGUAACACGUAGGUAAUCUACCCCAGAAUCUGGAAUAACCGGCCGAAAGGCUGGCUAAUACUGGAUAGAGCGACGGAAUCCGUAAUUGGGUUUUUCGGGAAAGGGAGCCUGUAAAAAGGCCUUCGUUCUGGGAUGAGCCUGCGUCCCAUCAGCUAGUUGGUGAGGUAAAAGCUUACCCAGGCAAUGACGGGUAGCUGGUCUGAGAGGACGAUCAGCCACACUGGAACUGAAACACGGUCCAGACUCCUACGGGAGGCAGCAGUGGGGAAUCUUGCGCAAUGGACGAAAGUCUGACGCAGCAACGCCGCGUGAGUGAAGAAGGCCUUCGGGUUGUAAAGCUCUGUCGAGUGGGACGAAAAUGCUUGGAGUGCAAAGCUCCAGGAACUGACGGUACCACUAAAGGAAGCACCGGCUAACUCCGUG
Molecule: ribosomal RNA, 502 nt
Filed under: uncultured bacterium
Lineage: Bacteria
Description: partial 16S ribosomal RNA
Rfam family: Bacterial small subunit ribosomal RNA
Source: RNAcentral